UGCCAGCAGUCGCGGUUACACCAGGAAAUUAAGUCAUAUCUAUCGGUAAAAAGACAGUUAGACAAUAAUAUAGGUCAUAGAAUUUUCAAUAUAGGGGUGCAAUCCGAGCAUUGAUAAAUAAUCUAGUUAUGACUAUUUAGUUGAAUCUGUGAUAGCUUUAAGGGAAACUGGGAUUUGAUACCCCAUUAUUUUUAGCUGUAAAUUCGAUUUUACAUAAUUUACCAGAGUACUACGAACAUAAGGUUUAAAACUCAAAGGGCUUGGCGGUGUUUUAGACCACUCAGGGGAACCUGUCUCAUAAUCGAUGAUCCACGUUAAACCUGACCUUUUUUUGCAUUCAGCUUGUAUACCGUCGUCGUCAGGUAACUUCUAAAAAACUAAAAGUUAGCGAAAGAAUUUAUAAAUUACAAUGUCAGAUCAGGGUGCAGCUUAUAAAAAGGGGAGGAUGGGUUACAAUUAUAAAUCUUAAUUACGGAAGACCGUUAGAAUUAACCGAUCUGAAGGAGGACUUGAAAGUAAUUUUAAAUAUAUAAAUUAUAUGAAUAAGGCUCUGAAAUGUGCACACAUCGCCCGCCACUCU
This 580-nucleotide ribosomal RNA is filed under the name Conasprella pagoda. Its description in RNAcentral is "partial 12S ribosomal RNA". It matches the Rfam family "Bacterial small subunit ribosomal RNA", at positions 506 to 1403 of the family's 1533-position model. Lineage: Eukaryota; Metazoa; Mollusca; Gastropoda; Neogastropoda; Conidae. The record is from RNAcentral.